AGGAGUAAAGGAGCCAGGAAUGAAGGAAUGGAGAUGAGCCCCCAAAGAAGAGGAAGUAAAUCAGUCACAUCUGAAGAAACUCAGAAGGAGACUUACUCAUGGAUCAGCAUGACGUCUUGGUGAUGGGAAUGGUACUGUCUCAGUUUAAGUUCCUGUGUGUAAACCCACUGUCAAAGAGAGGAUGCUCCUUCAGAAUGCACUUGACUCUCAGGAAGCUUUUUUCUUUCACCAGAUGCCUCUCAUGCCAAAACCCAAAAGGCUGAAGAAGGGUUUGCAGAAAUCUAUAGGUGGGUGGUGUAGCAUCUGAGACCUAUCAGGGAGUGGUGAAAGACAGCAGCUAUGAUGGCACUGCCAAUCCUCUCCUCUAGCCCAAGUUCUGCUUCUGUCUGAAAAAAAGACCCAGAACCAUUUUUUCAUUUGCUGAUCUUGUGAGAAGGGGAACCACCCAAGUCUCAUCUUGAAGUGCCUUUCCUCAUUAUAAAUGCAGAAGGCUGUGUCUGCCUUUACUGUGAUAAAAGAAAGGUGUCUUAGUAAUGAUACGGAGCCUCACUUCACAUGGACCAAUUCAAAUAUUUUGAAUAUAUGCGACAAAUAAAGCGAUAGAAGAAAAAGGAGGUUCUUAUCUUUCUACAAAAUGAACUUGUUUUUGGUUCAGUUCCUAGUGUGGGAGUUUCAUAAUAAUAAAUUAGGCCUCAAGUAAAGCUAUGGUGAAAAAAAAUGUGCUUAGUAUUUAUGCAACUGUUCCAUUCCUCCAUGUCCACAAAACAUAGCUAAGAAGUUGAAUAAAAACCCAAGUGUAAUAUUUGAAAACAAUUAAAACUGUUACUCAGAACAAGCAGCCAGUAAAUUGUUCUAACAGUUCCCUGGAGUAUUUAGAUAAUAGAGGCUGUGUAUCAUGUUGGUAUGCAGUGUUCAAGAAAAAAAGAAAAUUGUUUUACAGUAAGAACUGUGUUCAAAACACAUAUGAAAAGGAUUCAAGUAGAAUGUGCAGUUAUACCCACAGCUGUACAACCUCGUUUGGAAAAAGUUUACCCUUAGUUUAUAGAUUUUGCUCUCUUUUUUUCUUGUCAUUCUUGGCUUUGAGCCAGGCUUUGUUUCGGAUUUUUUUUCUUUCUGAGGAUCCUGUGCAGUUCAUGUUUUAAAAAUAAAAGAUUGCAAAAAUUAAUAAACAGCCUAGUAUCUAUUUAGUUUAAUAGUUCUGCCCAUGAUUUAGCAGAUGGAAACAUAGUCCAUGUCUGAGAAAUGUCACUUUUCUGAUGAAAUAUCUUGGAAGCAGAUUCCCAUUUGAGUUGAUGUCUUUCUCUACAUUGUAUUCCACUUACUUUUCUGUUUAGCAGGCAGCAAGAAACGCUGUAAAGUGUAGGCAUUUCCUAUCUGAAUAUCUGGUCCUAAGUAUCCCAGUCCACAUUAAUUUGGCUAAGUUUUUCUUGUGUGGUGUAUGGUCAUCAGUGAAUGUUUGUACCUGAAGAGUUGAACUUCUGAGGGAAAUCGAAAGCCUCUUUCUUCUAUUGCUGCACUGAAUGUCUUUUGAUAUCCCAAGGAAGAGACAUAACCACAUUUCAGAUCAUUGCCAGGGGGUUCCCAGAACAGAUCCAAUGCAAGUCUGAAGCUGCACAAGUAAGGGUUGUUUUUGUAAAUGUGGUCUGAAAAUUGAACUCCAGCAUUGAUGCGUGUGUAGCUAAUGGCCUAACAAUGUUGCUUGAACGAAAUUGUUCUCAAAUUAAUGGAAAAAUUGCAAAUGUGAGUUAAGAAACCGCCAAACUAGCAAGUUAGGAUAUGGGAAAAGUGGUUAGAAAUUGUACAGCAAUGUAUGUGUACAAAAAAGCCCACAAGAAGGGUAUAGAGCCAUGGAAAUGAUACCAUUGUACUUGCUGAGGUUAAGUUAAUGAACAAUACAGACAGAAUCUGUAAAUGGUAUCAUAUCACAAGUAUAUGAUUAUUGAUAUUGUAUUCGCUUUAAAUAUAGACCAAGUUCUAAAAAUAUGAAUUUUAAUAUUUAUUGAAAUCUCUGCAUCAGAGCUGUUUACAUACUUUGCUGAAGUCCAUAUUUAUCCUGAAAGUUACUCAAUUCGCUAUUCUGAAAUAGCUGUUUAUUUAUGAUAAGACUAUUACAAGGAUUUGUUUGCAGUUUUUACAAUUAAUUUUUUUUUCCUGACCACUCGGAGGCAGUUUGGAGUCUUAGAUAUGUGCUGAGGGAUUAAUCAUCAAGCAAUUAUAGAAAGUGGCAUCUUAGAAAAUGUAUGUAACGUGCUACAUUCACUAAGAUACACCUCCAGGCUGAAAAGGUCAGGAACAGACCUGAAUCGACUAAAGAAUCAACUAACCAUAAGCAGUCAAAGAAUUUAAGUAAAACUAGAUUAAAUUUCUAAUUGGAUAUUCUCUUCUAGUAGUGGAAUGAGCCUUGAGCUUGUCCACGUAAGCAGGUCCUCUACUACUUAUUCUUAUAAAUCUUACGGACUUAAUACAGCUAAGAAGAGCUAAGCUGAAUCUGACCGUGAUUCAUGUACAAAUACUGUUAAAUUGUUGGAUAUUUAUUGUGACUCUGCAGCUAGUGAAAGAUCAUUUUUUUCUUGCUUCUUCUUACAAACUCUGUAUGCAUUCUUAGUUGGCAUGGAUUGGUGGAGUCAUUCAGGCAAAAGUAUGGAGGCCCGUCUUUUACUUGGCUGUCGUUGGUUAAAAGAAGAAUAGAGAAGAAACAUGUAAGAACUCUAGAAAAGAGGUUAAACAACUGAACUCAAAAUAAUGAAGGAAAAAAGAACUGGCUUUAAAGUUUGCAUAUUUGUUGGACAAAAUUUUCUGUACAAAAGCUUGGUUGGUUCUAAUGCUGAUAUUUGAUUCCAGCUAUUAUUGUAAUAAGUGAAUAAAUGAUUAAGAGAAUAAGUGCUGGGAAAUACAGUAUUUCAUUGGAGUGGUGAAACAUUGAAUGUAUCUGGCAGCACAUUAUUAGGACCAAGGUAAUCAGGAGAGGACAAAUUUAAAAUAAAUAAAUUUUAAACUGCUUCCAUAAACAGCAGAAAUCUCUCAGUGGAAAUUCAGACCAUCUAUUCUCAAGAGCUGAAACAACUCAUUUGAACAACAGUUAUAAAACAUAACAAAGCCUUUAACAGGAAGUCUCUUCAGCCCUGACUCAAAAACUGUUUGCAAAAGGAAUAUGUGCUUUAUCAACUCAUUUUACAAUUUAAUAUUUAAUUUAAUAUAAUAUUUAUUUAAUAUUCCCGCUCAAUUCACAGAAUUAUUUUAUAUCAAAAACUUAUCUGUAAUUCAGAUGAAGACUCUUCCAAAAAGGGCUGAAUCAGUCCAUUCACUUCAGUUGCUGCUCAGUUAAUAGUUUAAGCUGAUGUAAGCCAGUCCUGUCAGAAGAAUCAGUCCCACUCACAGUUACCCACGACUUGCACCCACUCCCUCAUUCCAGCACAGCUGUCUGUGUGACUUUAAGGUUAGCUAAAUAAGGAGCUUGUGCAGAUCAAAAAUAACAUUUUUACUCAUUUCUUUCAGUCACAUAUUUCCAUGAUUGACUUCACUGCAUGGCUACACAAAUACUUGUGCAGGAGAAAGGAGCAGGACUCCUCUUGGCAUUGCGAAACAACUGUGGCCAUCCAAGCUCUAACAGUUUGCUCGGCUCACUCUGCUGAAGGUUUCCCAGUGUACACAUAUUCAGAGUAGAGGUUGCAAAACGAGAAAAAGAAUGUGUUUCUGCUGUUAAAAAUGAAAUCUGGACUCCUACCUAACUCACUGUUAUGAUCAAUUUAAGACAAUCCUCCAUAGUUUCCACAGAGGCCUAUAUUCUUCCCUCUGUGGAAGGAUUUAAUUUCAAGCUAAGGGGUGGAGUAGUCAUUGGACAAGUAGGACGUUUUUAGCUUCUAUGUCUUUUUAUCAGUGCUUUAGAUGCAGGAAAGCAGAAAUAAGAAUGGAAAGACCAUUCUUGUAGAAAACAGCUGUUCUGAGAUGUUUUUGAAUAUAGAUGGGCCAUUAAACAUGGUAACAGAGACAAAACUCCAAUGUCUUUAAGGAAUAAAAUGGAUCCCGAAAAAGGAAGACAGAAGAAAGACCUGCUUAAACACAGAGCAGGGACUUUGUACACUAGGUUUGGAGCCACAGAUAAUUGUAUGUGAAAUUUACAGCUGUGGUGAGGCAGGUUAAAAUAAAUUCAUCCUAACAGACACUGGUGGAAAGAGAAGAAGCUACUGAGAUCAGGAGUAUUGUCAGGCUAUUUUUUAUGCUAAAGUGAAAUUUAAAAGGAUUUUAUGUGGUUAGACCUAAGGAAAAUCUUUAGUGUUUUCCAAGAGAACACAAUGAAAAGAAGAGACCAAACAAAGAGAAGUAAAGAAUUGGGAAAUCAUACCCCCAGGAUGAGAAAACCUUACCACAUGUUGCUGAUAUUCCUGUAGAAGAAAAUAACUCCUUUCACUGUAGGCAGCUCUGAAUGUCUUUAUAACAAUAUGAAAACCAUUACAAUGCCAAUGCUGCUAAUAAAAAAGAUAAUGUGGAAGAGAUAAAAAGUGAAAGAGACAUUGUCAGGGCAAAUAAAAUUCUGGUUGCAUUAGUCUUGCUCAAAACACAGGAGUGUACAGUUAAUUUGUUACUGCCUUAAUGUUUUUAAUGAACUGCACAGGCAGUCUGUAGGAAAGCCAUCCAGAUCAUUAAGGUUUGCAAGAUUUUUUUUGAGGGAGAAUUGUUUUGCUGACCAGGUUAUUACUUCAAUAUCAGUAGCAAGCAGCAGCUCAACUCUGAGUCAGAAAGAAAGAGGCUAUUAUACAAAAAGAACCUUGCUUUUUAAGGUUAUCUUCACAAAGAUUUUUCCUUCCCCUGCUCCCACACCCAAAUUUUAGUCAGCUUAGUACUGAAUGAAAGAGUUUCUGCAGGAGACAAAAGAUCUCGGGUCUAAACGUUGUAAUGUUAUAUGGAAGGCCAGGUUCACCAAUAAGAAAGUUGCAUUUAACUAUCUAUAGUACCACAAUGAAAAAAUGGUAUAAAGCAUUAUUUGAAUACCUGGGGUUGGCCCAGAAAGGACAUGGAGGAGAAAAUUGCUAUGAAAUAGUGAAAGAUUGAGCAGGGAGAGCCGAGAAAGUAAUGUAGUUGAAACUCAAAUGCACAGCAGCUAUUUAUCAUAGCACCAGAAAAGAUGAAAUUUUCAGAGCAUGAAAAUGGCAAGUGAGUUACCUCUAUUUAUUUGAGAGAUAAGGAAAUUCAUAAAUACUUUACUUGAUAAGAUGGAUUUAAUAUUUGUGGGAUUUCUUUCAGUACCACCUAGUCUUCAGAAAAGUUGAUGAUACUCAAGGCCCACAAUGUAAAUAGCACUUAAAACCUAGUUCUAAAACUUUUAGUGGUAAAGGAAAAGCAUUUUUAGAAGGCUACAGAAUCAAUGGUUUAUAUAAUAAUAAAUAUAUAUAUAUAUUCUUUAAUAAAGAUCAGUACAUACAGAGACAACCCUACUACCUCCAUGUUGCUACCACAGAAUAAAAAUCUGCUGAAACGAGGUUGUAUAUUAUAGAAAGAAUCCCAGAAACUUAAUUUUUCAGAACGUCAGGUUGCCUUGGAACUGGGUAACCAAGGGACGUAACAGCUAGUUAAGUCAUGUUUUACAUAUUACAAUGUUUGUUAGGGUUAGAAAAAAUCCUCUGCAUGCUGUGGGAAAGUAUUGCUACAUUUUCCAUCUUGUCUUUUGCAGAAAUAAAUUCAUAUGCAGAGCAAGGGAUCAUUUCACCUCAUUCAACAAAAUGUGCAGCACAGAGCAGGUGUUCACGUUCUAAGGAAAAAUCAAAGAAAACAAACUCUGACACAAUAGAACUGACAGAAAAGUUCUCAAAGGAGUUUGCUAAUGCAAAAUUUUCUGUAAAAGGGUAUUUAGGUAUGCACAGGAUAAAUUAUACAUAUGUUCAAGUUUCAGUUGAUUUAUUCCUAUUCCUUUGUAUGUACUGACUAUUUAUUCUUGAAGACUCCUGACAGAUUCUUAUAUGCCACCUCAAGACUCUGGAUCAAGAGGCAUGUUGUAAAUUUGUCAUUGCAUUAUAAUUAAUUUUUUUAAAAUAAAAACUUACACAGUA
This is a long non-coding RNA of Parus major (Great Tit), 6044 nucleotides long. RefSeq lists it as uncharacterized. Lineage: Eukaryota; Metazoa; Chordata; Aves; Passeriformes; Paridae. The transcript is spliced from 2 exons. The record is from RefSeq and is a predicted model, not a curated record.